GGUUGAGUGAACAGAAGCUGAAUAUCUCACAAAGCUCCAAGAACUUUCUUUUCUGGACUUGAGAGUCUGUGCCAAGAAAGACUCGGGGUCUCACUCAUGUGCCGUCACCCUGGCACUGCCUCUGUCGGGAAGACUCGCAAGGAUUAAGAAAGCGGUCCCGGGCACGUAUUUCGUUAACUGCUCUCCUACCGUUCAGAGUGGCUGCUGCCUGGACAAGUUCCUCCUGUUUGCACACAAGAAAUGGCUGGUGCAAACAAUCCCAUAGAGAGCCGGCCUGGCACAUUUCUAAUGACUGAAUGCCACUAAGAGGUUUUGUGCCAGGCUGUCCUCUUUGUGAAGUAAAGAAUGAAAAUGGUGUCUGCACUGUGGACAAGAUAACCUACUCUACAGAGUUCAUAAUGGAAAUUCAACCGAACCACAUCAUAGUUAAGGAAGAAAAACUAAACGUGGCUCUUCCUGCUACUGAUUUUAUCCAGCAGUAAAGAGAAAUCCUUGCAAGUGCUGUUUACACAGUAUGAAAUCCUUACUGAGUCAUAGUGGAGCAUGUCUGCUAUCUGACCCAGGCUUUAGGGCUCCUUAAACACCUGUGGAUUUAUGGAGUUCAAAUGUCUACAAGGGCAUGUGUGGAAGUUCAUUCAGAAACCUGGAGCCCAAAUAAAAUGAUCUGAUGACAUGGAC
Long non-coding RNA from Zalophus californianus (California sea lion), 678 nucleotides. The record is from Ensembl. Lineage: Eukaryota; Metazoa; Chordata; Mammalia; Carnivora; Otariidae.